This 490-nucleotide ribosomal RNA is filed under the name uncultured bacterium. RNAcentral describes it as "partial 16S ribosomal RNA". It matches the Rfam family "Bacterial small subunit ribosomal RNA", at positions 28 to 507 of the family's 1533-position model. The record is from RNAcentral.
GAUGAACGCUAGCUACAGGCUUAACACAUGCAAGUCGCGGGGCAGCAUGGGGGUUGCUUGCAAUCCCCGAUGGCGACCGGCGCACGGGUGAGUAACGCGUAUCCAACCUGCCCUUCACCACGGGAUAACCCGGCGAAAGUCGGACUAAUACCGUAUGUUGUCCAUUGACGGCAUCCGAUUUGGACGAAAGGUUUGGCGGGGAAGGAUGGGGAUGCGUCCGAUUAGCUGGACGGCGGGGUGACGGCCCACCGUGGCGACGAUCGGUAGGGGUUCUGAGAGGAAGGUCCCCCACACUGGAACUGAGACACGGUCCAGACUCCUACGGGAGGCAGCAGUGAGGAAUAUUGGUCAAUGGGCGUAAGCCUGAACCAGCCAAGUAGCGUGCAGGAUGACGGCCCUAUGGGUUGUAAACUGCUUUUAUGCGGGGAUAAAGUGGCCCACGUGUGGGUUUUUGCAGGUACCGCAUGAAUAAGGACCGGCUAAUUCCGUG